RNAcentral lists this transfer RNA (74 nucleotides) under Patescibacteria group bacterium. RNAcentral describes it as "tRNA-Gly". The stretch from base 4 to 64 matches the Rfam family "tRNA", at positions 6 to 65 of the family's 71-position model. Rfam says of the family: Transfer RNA (tRNA) molecules are approximately 80 nucleotides in length. Their secondary structure includes four short double-helical elements and three loops (D, anti-codon, and T loops). The record is from RNAcentral.
GGGUGUAGUUUAGUGGUAGAAUAUCUGCCUUCCAAGCAGAGGACGGCAAAUUCUAUUAUUGCCGAUUCUCCCCA